Molecule: ribosomal RNA, 561 nt
Filed under: Trichoderma asperellum
Lineage: Eukaryota; Fungi; Ascomycota; Sordariomycetes; Hypocreales; Hypocreaceae
Description: eukaryotic LSU rRNA
Rfam family: 5.8S ribosomal RNA (bases 185-338)
Source: RNAcentral
CCGAGUUUACAACUCCCAAACCCAAUGUGAACGUUACCAAACUGUUGCCUCGGCGGGGUCACGCCCCGGGUGCGUCGCAGCCCCGGAACCAGGCGCCCGCCGGAGGAACCAACCAAACUCUUUCUGUAGUCCCCUCGCGGACGUAUUUCUUUACAGCUCUGAGCAAAAAUUCAAAAUGAAUCAAAACUUUCAACAACGGAUCUCUUGGUUCUGGCAUCGAUGAAGAACGCAGCGAAAUGCGAUAAGUAAUGUGAAUUGCAGAAUUCAGUGAAUCAUCGAAUCUUUGAACGCACAUUGCGCCCGCCAGUAUUCUGGCGGGCAUGCCUGUCCGAGCGUCAUUUCAACCCUCGAACCCCUCCGGGGGAUCGGCGUUGGGGAUCGGGACCCCUCACACGGGUGCCGGCCCCUAAAUACAGUGGCGGUCUCGCCGCAGCCUCUCCUGCGCAGUAGUUUGCACAACUCGCACCGGGAGCGCGGCGCGUCCACGUCCGUAAAACACCCAACUUUCUGAAAUGUUGACCUCGGAUCAGGUAGGAAUACCCGCUGAACUUAAGCAUAUAA